Molecule: long non-coding RNA, 737 nt
Organism: Drosophila miranda
Lineage: Eukaryota; Metazoa; Arthropoda; Insecta; Diptera; Drosophilidae
Exons: 2
Source: RefSeq, a predicted model, not a curated record
UGUGACGGCCCAUAUUUGGAUGGACUUAUUUGUGUGCACAGAACUGUAGCUUAUCUUCGUGCUAGGGAAUAAACGAGAAUAGCGCGAAAGCUUUUGACGGGAGAGCGAGCUUUGGGUUAUCUUGGUGGGUUAUCUAGCGCUUGUGCUUUAGAAUGGGAUAAAGAAACAAAAUCAAAGCUCAAGCGCUGGAUCAUUCGAUCCAUGGAACUAAAUUGUGGAAGGUCAGUUUGGUGGUACGGCGAGAUAAAAGAAAAGAAAAGAAUAAAAGGUUUGCCAGUCGAUCUCGGUUUCUCCAGUGUAAUUUAAUAUUGACGAAAGUUAUCCAACUGAGGUCAAACUUCUGCCGCACAACGAAAAUUUGCGAUCAACCUUAUUUUUGACCUUGGCAGAGGACAUACAGUUGCCUCUGAAAUUCUAUGUCGUGGCCUGGAUAGGCACAGACAUAUCCAUAUCGGAUGUCUUCAAGGAAAAUGAUUGACACACACACACACACACACUGAAUUCAACCGAAGCUACUAUUGCUAUUAUUAUUAUUUUUUUUGCAUUUAAAUUUUGUACACUAUAAUCUAAUCUAGGACACAUCAAUGCAUGCAGGCCUGUUGCAGCGAUGGAAAACCAAACUUGCUGUAACUGUAGAUAAAUAAGAUGUUAUGAAGAUUUGAGGUGAUGCUGAGAAUGGUUGUUAGUUGGAGUGGAGUUAAAAUAUGAAAAUACACUGAAGAUUGAUCAACAUGAAA